Molecule: ribosomal RNA, 497 nt
Filed under: uncultured bacterium
Lineage: Bacteria
Description: partial 16S ribosomal RNA
Rfam family: Bacterial small subunit ribosomal RNA
Source: RNAcentral
GAUGAACGCUGGCGGCGUGCCUAAUACAUGCAGGUCGAGCGAACGGACGAGAAGCUUGCUUCUCUGAUGUUAGCGGCGGACGGGUGAGUAACACGUGGAUAACCUACCUAUAAGACUGGGAUAACUUCGGGAAACCGGAGCUAAUACCGGAUAAUAUUUUGAACCGCAUGGUUCAAAAGUGAAAGACGGUCUUGCUGUCACUUAUAGAUGGAUCCGCGCUGCAUUAGCUAGUUGGUAAGGUAACGGCUUACCAAGGCAACGAUGCAUAGCCGACCUGAGAGGGUGAUCGGCCACACUGGAACUGAGACACGGUCCAGACUCCUACGGGAGGCAGCAGUAGGGAAUCUUCCGCAAUGGGCGAAAGCCUGACGGAGCAACGCCGCGUGAGUGAUGAAGGUCUUCGGAUCGUAAAACUCUGUUAUUAGGGAAGAACAUAUGUGUAAGUAACUGUGCACAUCUUGACGGUACCUAAUCAGAAAGACACGGCUAACUACGUG